This 301-nucleotide ribosomal RNA is filed under the name uncultured bacterium. RNAcentral's name for it is "partial 16S ribosomal RNA". It matches the Rfam family "Bacterial small subunit ribosomal RNA", at positions 509 to 807 of the family's 1533-position model. The record is from RNAcentral.
CAGCAGCCGCGGUAAUACGAAGGGUGCAAGCGUUACUCGGAAUUACUGGGCGUAAAGCGUGCGUAGGUGGUUGUGUAAGACAGGUGUGAAAUCCCCGGGCUUAACCUGGGAACUGCGCUUGUGACUGCACAGCUAGAGUAUGGCAGAGGGGGGUGGAAUUCCACGUGUAGCAGCGAAAUGCGUAGAGAUGUGGAGGAACACCGAUGGCGAAGGCAGCCCCCUGGGCCAAUACUGACGCUCAUGCACGAAAGCGUGGGGAGCAAACAGGAUUAGAUACCCCGGUAGUCCCUGUCUCUUAUAC